UUUUAUAUAGUAUAAAAAUUACAUUUUAUUUCCAAUAAAAAAAUUUAAAUUAAAUUAAUAUAAAAA
RNAcentral lists this transfer RNA (66 nucleotides) under Parnips nigripes. RNAcentral describes it as "tRNA-Gly". The record is from RNAcentral. Lineage: Eukaryota; Metazoa; Arthropoda; Insecta; Hymenoptera; Figitidae.